UGAAAUAUAGCUUCUAAUUACAAAGUUACUUUUAAAAAUAAUGAAUAAAACAGCAAAUCACAGAUACAAAAAAGCCCACACUAGGUGGGCUUCUUCGUUUAAAUAAUGGUGCGUCCGAGUGAACUCGAAUCACCGACCCCUACCA
RNAcentral lists this antisense RNA (145 nucleotides) under Aliivibrio fischeri ES114. RNAcentral's name for it is "Vibrio fischeri ES114 Bacterial antisense RNA HPnc0260". It matches the Rfam family "Bacterial antisense RNA HPnc0260". Lineage: Bacteria; Pseudomonadati; Pseudomonadota; Gammaproteobacteria; Vibrionales; Vibrionaceae. The record is from Rfam by way of RNAcentral.